Molecule: long non-coding RNA, 487 nt
Filed under: Rosa chinensis
Lineage: Eukaryota; Viridiplantae; Streptophyta; Magnoliopsida; Rosales; Rosaceae
Description: sRNA RchiOBHm_Chr3g0488961
Source: RNAcentral
AUGCAAGAACUGGUGAAAAUGAUGGAGAUGGUGAACCACGGGAGAGUUUUCUUCAAUUGGUUGUUCUGUGUCGUAGAGGUGAAGUAGCAGCAGCUCAAAGACAUUCAUUUGAUUUUUGUAAGUAAGAUGAGUUGGAAAUCAUGUUGACAAGGCUUUGGGUUUAUAAGUAAAUUGCAAUUGUUCUUGACAGUAAGCGAAGUCGAGUUGAGGGAGAAGAAGAAUCGGUGCUUCGACGAGUUUUCCUGAAACUGGAAACGUUAAGAUAAUUUCCAGAUCAUAAACGCAAAUACUUGGUAGAGCUAUGAUCAAAACAUGAUUGUUAAUUAGAGUGUGGUGUUUUGUACAUGAUCAAGUCUUGAGACUCGAACCGAUUACGUUGUGAACUUGGUUUUGGUGCCGAAAUAGAAUGAUCACUGUGUAUCGUUGGAGGCACACUGUGGAUUGAACCACUUCUGUACGCGUGGCCACUGAUGCCAGUACUGGCUUC